UCCGAGUUGACCCCGGCAGUCUCCCGUGAGUCCCCACCACCCCGAAGGGCGUGCUGGCAACACGAGACAAGGGUUGCGCUCGUUGCGGGACUUAACCCAACAUCUCACGGCACGAGCUGACGACAGCCAUGCACCACCUGUACACCGACUCAAGGAGGGACCCUGUCUCCAGGGUUUUCCGGCGUAUGUCAAGCCUUGGUAAGGUUCUUCGCGUUGCGUCGAAUUAAGCCACAUGCUCCGCCGCUUGUGCGGGCCCCCGUCAAUUCCUUUGAGUUUUAGCCUUGCGGCCGUACUCCCCAGGCGGGGCGCUUAAUGCGUUAGCUACGGCACGGAUCCCGUGGAAGGAAACCCACACCUAGCGCCCACCGUUUACGGCGUGGACUAC
This 385-nucleotide unclassified non-coding RNA is filed under the name uncultured Actinomycetes bacterium. RNAcentral's name for it is "uncultured actinobacterium contains 16S-23S intergenic spacer region". The record is from RNAcentral. Lineage: Bacteria; Bacillati; Actinomycetota; Actinomycetes.